This 254-nucleotide ribosomal RNA is filed under the name uncultured bacterium. RNAcentral's name for it is "partial 16S ribosomal RNA". It matches the Rfam family "Bacterial small subunit ribosomal RNA", at positions 524 to 776 of the family's 1533-position model. The record is from RNAcentral.
GACGGAGGAUGCAAGCGUUAUCCGGAAUGAUUGGGCGUAAAGCGUCCGCAGGUGGCAGUUCAAGUCUGCUGUCAAAGACCGGGGCUUAACUUCGGAAAGGCAGUGGAAACUGAACAGCUAGAGUAUGGUAGGGGCAAGGGGAAUUCCCAGUGUAGCGGUGGAAAUGCGUAGAUAUUGGGAAGAACACCGGUGGCGAAAGCGCCUUGCUGGGUCUGCACUGACACUGAGGGACGAAAGCUAGGGGAGCGAAAGGG